UGGGACCUCCCUUCCAAGGACACUGGACACAAACAUAGACACCGAUGCAAAAAGCUGCCCAAAGCGCCUACCUAAUCCGACAGAAACGUAAACGGUCCAGAUAAGAACGAAUUAGAACCCUCAAGAAGGUCCGCAGAGACAGCGAAAAGAAGGUUUGCUGUGCAGGGAGUGUCGGCCACGCUUGGCGCACUGUCCCAGGCCCCGGGCGAAGGUGGCCAGGGAAAAUGGGGCUUAGGGAUUGCUAAGCAAACGGCACCAUUGGUGGUCUCCAGCGCCCGCGGAGAUAUUCACCUCUAUACUGAUCAAGGAGCUGCUGAAGGAAGACUGACUCCUGCAAAGCUCCCUUCAAGUGGGGUCUUUUUCUUUCUAUCAUGCAGUGUGUGAGUCCAUAGACAGGGGGAAUUGAUGAUGUAACAGAAGGAAAAGGUAAUUCAGCGAGUCCUUGAAAAGAUGAAGAAGAAUGGGAUCUGGAACACAAUCAGAAGUGUUGACUUUUGAUGGGAACAGGAACGGUUUUGCCAGCGUAACAGAGAGAAGGCACAGUCAUAGUUGAGUUCAUCAAAACAAAAUCCAUGCCUGAUAUUAUGUAUAAGGUGCAUAAAGGAAGGAGAAAACUGCCACCUAUCAACGAUUCCACUUAUUUUCUUGUGCAUGUUACAGAUUUAUUGCAAGUGCAACAUUUUAAAGUCCCAUUCCUUUCCCAUACCAGUUAUGGCACUUUUCUGACACACUGUCAAACACAAAAAAAGGGAACGUGGAAAAAAUGAUUGCACACAGGAGCAAUGAAGAGCUCUUGCUUCUGACUCCAGGGAUAUAAACACUGUUGGCAUGAAAUUAUACUCAAAGCUUUGUGUUCCCGAGAGAAUGGAGAAAAGGAAACCUGAAAAAGUGAUAUUUCCGCUUUAUUAAAACUCACAUGGUGGACUUCUGCCAAGAUGGAGGUAUAGGUGGAAGCACUGUGCCUUCUCCCACAACCAAGUUUAAAAACAACAAAGUUUUAGCAACAAAAACGCAGCUAAACCACAGAAAAUUGAACUAUAUGGAAAUCUGACAACAACGAACCCUUCAGCCAAACUGGUAAGAGGGGCAGAGCCAACAGCAGAGCGGGGUUGGGCAGGAAAGAUCUACCAGACCGACUGGGGCGCACGACCCAGGUGAGCCAGCAGCCCUGGGCAGAUCCCAGGUGUGGAGUAGCGGGUGGACCCACUGAGGGCUGACUGCAGUCACACAUUUGCUCGCAGAUAAACUGGUGAAGGAGCAAGCAAUGAGACGGACCUCACAGGCCCCAGUGGCGGGAAGCUGCAGAGGGGACCACUAUUGUCCCUCUCUGACCCCGCCCCUACAUACAGCAUCACAAACCAGUGACCUGGGUGGCCCCGCCCUGGUGAACACCUAAGGCUCCACUCCUCAUACAUAACAGGCAUGAACAGAUCAAAUCAUGGCUCAAGAACAACUCAGAGCCCCAGAGCCAAUAAAUCUAAGUGAUAAAGAAAUAGCCAAACUUUCAGAUGCACAGUUCAAAACACUGGUGAUCAGGAUGCUCACAGAACUGGUUGAUUUUAGUCACAAAUUAGAGGAACAAAUGAAGGCUAAACUAAUUGAAAUGAAGGGAAAUACACAGGAAACCAAUAGUGAUGGAAAGGAAACUGGGACUCAAAUCAAAGGAGUGGACCAGAAGGAGGAAAAAAAGGACCAAAGAGAAAAGGAUGAAGAAACAAGAAUUCAAAAAAAGGAGGAGAGGCUUAGGAACCUUCAGGACAUCUUUAAACGCUCUAACAUCUGAAUUUUAGGGGUACCAGAAGGGGAAGAGGAACAGCCACCAGUAGAAAACUUAUUUAAACAAAUAAUAAAGGAGAACUUCCCCAAUCUGGCAAAGGAAAUAGACUUCCAGGAAAUCCAGGAAGCUCAGAGAGUCCCAAAGAAGUUGGACCCAAGAAGAAACACACCAAGGCACAUCAUAAUUAUAUUAGCCAAGAUUAAAAUGAAGGAGAGAAUCCUACAAGCAGCAAGAGCUAAGGGGACAGUCACCUACAAAGGAGUUCCCAUCAGACUGUCAGCAGAUUUCUCAAAAGAGACCUUACAGGCAAGAAGGGGCUGGAAGGAAGUAUUCCAAGUCAUGAAAGGCAAGGACCUAUACCCAAGAUUGCUCUAUCCAGCAAAGCUUUCAUUUAGAAUGGAAGGGCAGAUAAAGUGCUUCUCAGAUAAGAUCAAAUUCAAGGAGUUCAUCAUCACCAAGCCCUUAUUAUAUGAAAUGUUAAAGGGACUUACCUAAGAAAAAGAAGAUAAAAAAGAUGAAUAGUGAAAGGACAGCAAACUCACAGUUAUUAAGAACCACACCUAAAACAAAAGCAAACUAAGAAGAUAACUAGAUCAGGAGCAGAACCAUAGAAAUGAAGAUCACAUGGAGGGUUAGCAACAGGGGAGUGGGAGAAUGAGAAGAGGGGAGAAGGUACAGAAAAUAAGUAGCAUAGAUGGUAGGUAGAGAAUAGAUAGGGGGAGGGCAAGAAUAGUAGGGGAAAUAUAGAAUCUAAAGAACUUGAAACA
This is a long non-coding RNA of Artibeus jamaicensis (Jamaican fruit-eating bat), 2544 nucleotides long. RefSeq lists it as uncharacterized. The record is from RefSeq and is a predicted model, not a curated record. The transcript has 7 exons. NCBI's taxonomy places the organism in Eukaryota, Metazoa, Chordata, Mammalia, Chiroptera, Phyllostomidae.